UACGGAGGAUGCAAGCGUUAUCCGGAAUGAUUGGGCGUAAAGCGUCCGCAGGUGGCUGUGUAAGUCUGCUGUCAAAGAGCAAAGCUCAACUUUGUAAAGGCAGUGGAAACUACACGGCUAGAGUGCGUUCGGGGCAGAGGGAAUUCCUGGUGUAGCGGUGAAAUGCGUAGAUAUCGGGAGGAACACCAGUGGCGGAGGCGACUACCUGGCCUGUUCUUGACGCUGAGGCGCGAAAGCUAGGGGAGCAAACGGG
RNAcentral lists this ribosomal RNA (253 nucleotides) under uncultured bacterium. RNAcentral's name for it is "partial 16S ribosomal RNA". It matches the Rfam family "Bacterial small subunit ribosomal RNA", at positions 524 to 776 of the family's 1533-position model. The record is from RNAcentral.